This 45-nucleotide non-coding RNA is filed under the name Schistosoma mansoni. The record is from RNAcentral. Lineage: Eukaryota; Metazoa; Platyhelminthes; Trematoda; Strigeidida; Schistosomatidae.
AUUCAGCUGACGAGUUCCAAAUAGGGUGAAACUCACGUCCUGAAU